This 708-nucleotide ribosomal RNA is filed under the name uncultured spirochete. Its description in RNAcentral is "bacterial SSU rRNA". It matches the Rfam family "Bacterial small subunit ribosomal RNA", at positions 59 to 757 of the family's 1533-position model. The record is from RNAcentral. Lineage: Bacteria; Pseudomonadati; Spirochaetota; Spirochaetia; Spirochaetales.
AAGUCGAGCGGCAGGGUGCAGCAAUGCGCCUGAGAGCGGCGGACUGGUGAGUAGCGCGUGGGUAACCUACCCUUGGGAUGGGGAUAGCCAUUAGAAAUAGUGGGUAAUACCGAAUACGGUUGCGAGGCAGGGGUUUUGCAACGAAAGGGGCUCCGGCUCCGCCCGGGGAUGGGCCCGCGUUCCAUUAGCUAGUUGGUGGGGUAAGGGCCUACCAAGGCGAUGAUGGGUAGCCGGCCUGAGAGGGUGAACGGCCACACUGGGACUGAGAUACGGCCCAGACUCCUACGGGAGGCAGCAGCUAAGAAUAUUCCGCAAUGGACGAAAGUCUGACGGAGCGACGCCGCGUGGAUGAAGAAGGCCGAAAGGUUGUAAAGUUCUUUUGUUGCUGAAGAAUAAGCGGGGGAGGGAAUGCCCUCGUGAUGACGUUAGGCGACGAAUAAGCCCCGGCUAAUUACGUGCCAGCAGCCGCGGUAACACGUAAGGGGCGAGCGUUGUUCGGAAUUAUUGGGCGUAAAGGGCGCGUAGGCGGUUAUGUAAGCCUGGCGUGAAAUGGUAGGGCUUAACCCUAUCACGGCGUUGGGAACUGUGUAACUUGAGUCAUGGAGGGGGAGUUGGGAUUCCGCGUGUAGGGGUGAAAUCUGUAGAUAUGCGGAAGAACACCGGUGGCGAAGGCGAACUUCUAGCCAAUGACUGACGCUGAGGCGCGAA